This 279-nucleotide ribosomal RNA is filed under the name uncultured bacterium. RNAcentral's name for it is "partial 16S ribosomal RNA". It matches the Rfam family "Bacterial small subunit ribosomal RNA", at positions 8 to 302 of the family's 1533-position model. The record is from RNAcentral.
AGAGUUUGAUCCUGGCUCAGGAUGAACGCUAGCGGCGGGCUUAAUACAUGCAAGUCAAGGGGUAGCAAUACACCGGCGUACGGGUGCGUAACGCGUAUGGAACCUGCCCUUAUCUGGGGGAUAACUCGGGGAAACUCGAGCUAAUACCGCAUAAGAUAGUAGAGAGGCAUCUCUUAGCUAUUAAAGAUUUAUCGGAUAAGGAUGGCCAUGCGUAAGAUUAGAUAGUUGGCGAGGUAACGGCUCACCAAGUCUACGAUCUUUAGGGGCUCUGAGAGGAGA